CGCGUAGGUGGUUCGAUAAGCGAGAUGUGAAAGCCCCGGGCUUAACCUGGAACGGCAUUUCGAACUGUCGGGCUAGAGUAUGGUAGAGGGUAGUGGAAUUUCCUGUGUAGCGGUGAAAUGCGUAGAUAUAGGAAGGAACACCAGUGGCGAAGGCGGCUACCUGGACCAAUACUGACACUGAGGUGCGAAAGCGUGGGGAGCAAACA
This 206-nucleotide ribosomal RNA is filed under the name uncultured bacterium. Its description in RNAcentral is "partial 16S ribosomal RNA". It matches the Rfam family "Bacterial small subunit ribosomal RNA", at positions 568 to 774 of the family's 1533-position model. The record is from RNAcentral.